This 467-nucleotide ribosomal RNA is filed under the name uncultured bacterium. RNAcentral's name for it is "partial 16S ribosomal RNA". It matches the Rfam family "Bacterial small subunit ribosomal RNA", at positions 28 to 506 of the family's 1533-position model. The record is from RNAcentral.
GACGAACGCUGGCGGCGUGCUUAACACAUGCAAGUCGAACGGAAAGGCCCUGCUUUUGUGGGGUGCUCGAGUGGCGAACGGGUGAGUAACACGUGAGUAACCUGCCCUUGACUUUGGGAUAACUUCAGGAAACUGGGGCUAAUACCGGAUAGGAGCUCCUGCUGCAUGGUGGGGGUUGGAAAGUUUCGGCGGUUGGGGAUGGACUCGCGGCUUAUCAGCUUGUUGGUGGGGUAGUGGCUUACCAAGGCUUUGACGGGUAGCCGGCCUGAGAGGGUGACCGGCCACAUUGGGACUGGGAUACGGCCCGGGCCCCUACGGGGGGGAGGAGGGGGGAAUAUUGAAAAAGGGGCGGAAGCCGGAUGCAGCAACGCCGGGGGGGGGAGGACGGCCUUGGGGUUGUAAACCGUUUUCGCCUGGGACGAAGGGUGAGGGACGGUAAUGGGUAAAAAAGCACCGGCUAACUACGU